This 254-nucleotide ribosomal RNA is filed under the name uncultured bacterium. Its description in RNAcentral is "partial 16S ribosomal RNA". It matches the Rfam family "Bacterial small subunit ribosomal RNA", at positions 524 to 776 of the family's 1533-position model. The record is from RNAcentral.
UACGUAGGGUGCAAGCGUUGUCCGGAAUUAUUGGGCGUAAAGAGCUCGUAGGCGGUUUGUCGCGUCUGCUGUGAAAACCCCGAGGCUCAACCUCGGGCCUGCAGUGGGUACGGGCAGACUAGAGUGCGGUAGGGGAGAUUGGAAUUCCUGGUGUAGCGGUGGAAUGCGCAGAUAUCAGGAGGAACACCGAUGGCGAAGGCAGAUCUCUGGGCCGUAACUGACGCUGAGGAGCGAAAGCAUGGGGAGCGAACAGG